RNAcentral lists this non-coding RNA (79 nucleotides) under bovine gut metagenome. The record is from RNAcentral.
CAGGGGCGCCGAAUGGCUGAGAUGCAAAAGCAGUCCCUUAUCACCUGAUCUAGGUAAUACUAGCGUAGGGAGUCUGUAU